CAGUAGCCGCGGUAAUACGAAGGGUGCAAGCGUUAAUCGGAAUUACUGGGCGUAAAGCGUGCGUAGGCGGUUUGUUAAGUCUGCUGUGAAAUCCCCGGGCUCAACCUGGGAAUGGCAGUGGAUACUGGCAAGCUAGAGUGUGUCAGAGGAUGGUGGAAUUCCCGGUGUAGCGGUGAAAUGCGUAGAUAUCGGAAGGAACACCUGUGGCGAAAGCGGCUCACUGGACCAUAACUGACGCUGAUGCACGAAAGCUAGGGGAGCAAACAGGAUUAGAUACCCCAGUAGUCCCUGUCUCUUAUAC
RNAcentral lists this ribosomal RNA (301 nucleotides) under uncultured bacterium. RNAcentral describes it as "partial 16S ribosomal RNA". It matches the Rfam family "Bacterial small subunit ribosomal RNA", at positions 509 to 807 of the family's 1533-position model. The record is from RNAcentral.